Molecule: small RNA, 182 nt
Filed under: Chrysemys picta bellii (western painted turtle)
Lineage: Eukaryota; Metazoa; Chordata; Testudines; Emydidae
Description: TUC338 (ENSCPBG00000026042.1)
Source: RNAcentral
UUAAAAGUUCUGGAAACUGAAGUCCUCUGUUCAUCUGCAGAAAUGGUACAGCACAGACAGUGGCAAAACAAGCUUCCCCCUUGUUGACCUGCCAAUCUGCCUCAAUCCAAAGCGGAAAGAACACCUCUAGGAGUCAUAGAGUUUAAGGCCAGAAGGGACCACCAGAUAAUCCAGUCUGUCCU